This 524-nucleotide ribosomal RNA is filed under the name uncultured bacterium. RNAcentral's name for it is "partial 16S ribosomal RNA". It matches the Rfam family "Bacterial small subunit ribosomal RNA", at positions 28 to 523 of the family's 1533-position model. The record is from RNAcentral.
GACGAACGCUGGCGGCGUGCCUAAUACGUGCAAGUCGAACGAAGCUGUUUUAACUGGUGCUUGCACCGACUUAAACAACUGAGUGGCGAACGGGUGAGUAACACGUGGGUAACCUGCCCCAAAGCGGGGGAUAACAUUUGGAAACAGAUGCUAAUACCGCAUAACCACAGAAACCACAUGGUUUCUGUGUCAAAGAUGGUUUCGGCUAUCACUUUGGGAUGGACGCGCGGCGUAUUAGCUAGUUGGUAAGGUAAUGGCUUACCAAGGCAAUGAUACGUAGCCGAACUGAGAGGUUGAUCGGCCACAUUGGGACUGAGACACGGCCCAAACUCCUACGGGAGGCAGCAGUAGGGAAUCUUCCACAAUGGACGAAAGUCUGAUGGAGCAGCGCCGCGUGAGUGAAGAAAGUUUUCGGAUCGUAAAACUCUGUUGUCAGAGAAGAACGUGUGCGAGAGUAACUGCUCGUGCAGUGACGGUAUCUGGCCAGAAAGCCACGGCUAACUACGUGCCAGCCGCCGCGGUAA